Molecule: small nucleolar RNA, 193 nt
Organism: Trichosurus vulpecula (common brushtail)
Lineage: Eukaryota; Metazoa; Chordata; Mammalia; Diprotodontia; Phalangeridae
Product: small nucleolar RNA SNORA73 family
Exons: 1
Source: RefSeq, a predicted model, not a curated record
CCAAAACGGAUACCCUGGGGAGAUGACUCUCCAGGCUCCGAGUGGUCCAAGGGAGCAUAGGGCCUUGUGCUGUGAUGUACAAUCCCGUCCCACAACGUUGGACAGCAAACCAGGCUUUCUGUCUGCGUCUGUCUGCGCCUAAUGCUAGGGGUCUUUGGACUGUGCCCAAGGAGACAAACCAUAGGGAAAACGA